RNAcentral lists this small RNA (3982 nucleotides) under Pan troglodytes (chimpanzee). Its description in RNAcentral is "retained intron". The record is from RNAcentral. Lineage: Eukaryota; Metazoa; Chordata; Mammalia; Primates; Hominidae.
GUGGUGAGAGGGGAAGGGACAUUUACAGCCCUUUUCUCCCUCCCUUGCCCACAACUACUGUGCCCCAGCAUGGCACCCGGGUCAGCCCCUGCCAGCUCUGGAGCUGUCAUCAUCUCUCCCUCUUAUGCCUCUUCAGUGGACUGUGGCCAGGCUCCCCUGGACCCUGUCUACCUGCCGGCAGCCCUGGAGCUCCUAGACGCCCCUGAGCACUUCCGUGUGCAGCAGGUGGGCCACUACCCACCUGCCAACUCCUCUCUGAGCUCCCGAUCUGAGACCUUUCUGCUCCUACAGCCCUGGCCCAGGGCCCAGCCACUUCUCCGGGCCUCCUACCCACCUUUUGCCACUCAGCAGGUGGUCCCCCCUCGAGUCACUGAGCCCCACCAACGGCCAGUCCCAUGGGACGUGCGGGCCGUUUCAGUGGAAGCGGCUGUGACUCCAGCAGAGCCCCACGCCCGGGUUCUCUUCCACCUCAAAGGGCAGGAUUGGCCACCAGGGUCUGGCAGCCUGCCCUGUGCCCGGCUCCAUGCCACACACCCUGCAGGCACUGCUCACCAAGCCUGCCGCUUCCAGCCAUCCCUGGGCGCCUGCGUGGUGGAGCUGGAGCUUCCCUCGCACUGGUUCUCACAGGCCUCCACCACACGGGCCGAGCUGGCCUACACGCUUGAGCCUGCAGCUGAGGGCCCUGGGGGCUGUGGCUCCGGCGAGGAGAACGACCCUGGGGAGCAGGCCCUCCCAGUGGGGGGCGUGGAGCUGCGCCCAGCAGACCCCCCGCAGUACCAGGAGGUACCUCUGGACGAGGCUGUGACUCUGCGGGUGCCUGACAUGCCAGUGCGGCCCGGCCAGCUCUUUAGUGCUACCCUCCUGCUUCGGCACAACUUCACAGCCAGCCUCCUGACCCUGCGGAUCAAGGUGAAGAAGGGGCUGCAUGUGACAGCCGCCCGCCCAGCCCAGCCCACACUCUGGACUGCCAAGCUGGACCGCUUCAAGGGCUCCAAGCAUCACACCACCCUCAUCACCUGCCACCGUGCUGGGCUCACAGAGCCAGAUUCCAGUCCCCUUGAACUGUCUGAGUUCCUAUGGGUGGACUUUGUGGUGGAGAAUAGCACUGGUGGGGGCGUAGCGGUCACUCGCCCCGUCACGUGGCAGCUGGAGUACCCAGGCCAGGCCCCUGAAGCAGAGAAGGACAAAAUGGUGUGGGAAAUCCUGGUGUCUGAGCGGGACAUCAGAGCCCUUAUCCCACUGGCCAAGGUAAGGAGACCUCCAUCUCUGCCCGGGAAGGCUGGAGGCCAAGUCCCAGGAGCCCCAUGAGCUGAGGGGCCUGGGGCUGAGCCCCUCCUCCACCCCCAGGCUGAGGAGCUGGUGAAUACAGCACCACUGACUGGAGUGCCCCAGCAUGUCCCCGUGCGCCUUGUCACUGUGGACGGCGGGGGGGCCUUGGUGGAGGUGACAGAGCAUGUCGGCUGCGAGUCUGCCAACACACAGGUCCUGCAGGUGAGUGGCAGGUGCCCAGCUCAUGUGAGUCUGCAUUUGUGUGGGCACAGUUACGCACGCACACCUUUCCUCCUUCCUCAUGUGGGUCCCCAAGAGAACAGCUUCUUCUUGAGACGAGAAACCUCAUGGGAGGAACCACAGCUUCAACUUCUUUUGUUCCAGCCACCUCUCUCCCGAGUCAAGUAACCCUAACAGCCCCCCGACCUUAGACACUUUCACGCUCAUUAUUGCACUGGCAAGUGCGCUGGCCUGAGAGAGUCGAGAGCACAUACUCUGGGAUCAGAAAGUUUUAGUCUGAAACACAUCUUUGUUGUCAACCAGCUUUGUGAUCAUGGGCUGGUCUCUUAACCUCUCUGAGCCUCGUUACCUAAACUUUAAAAUGGGAACAUAUCUUCGGGUUGUUGUAAGAAUUAAAAGCACUUUAAGACAGUAUUUAGCAGAUAGCAGGGGCUGAAACAAUGGCAGUUAUUGCUGUUAUAAUAUGAUGUAAUAAUUAUACAAUGGUAAAAAUUAUUAUUAUUAUUAUUACUGGUGAUUGUGAAGCGAAAUAAAAGGGAGGGUGGUAGAGCAACUUCCUCUAUCUUGAAGUUCUAAGAGGGGAAGCAUGGAGUCUGUAUGUAUGCAAAUCCCAGCCACCUGAAGGGAGAAGGUGCCUUUCCCCACUUGUGGUCCUUUGCUCAAAUGUGUGUGGUUCCUGCUGGAGGGCCUUGGUGGGAGAUCUGCUUUGUCCCACCUCUGCCUACCUGGCUGUAGCUGGUUGCCAGGUGGCUCCAAGAGCAAUGUCAAAGGCCAGCAUGAAUAAGGAGCCAAAGUUUUGGGUUCACACCCCUGCUCUGCCAGGAGGAAGACUGGUAUGCAAUGGCCAGUUCCCCUGACUGAGCCCCAGGGAACCUCAAGGAAUGGCCCCUACAGUAAAAUCUUAAACAAAGAACAGGGCUUAACCAACAAUCCUGCUGCAACAUGCAUUCCAGUGACACACAGAGCUGAACUCAGUGGGAGCCCGUCCUACGGCCUGAGGUCAGGGCUGCUCUCUUCUGGCCCAUGCCUUUUUUUUUUUUUUUAAAUCUAUUUAUUUUGAAACAGAGUCUCACUCUGUCCCCAGGCUGGAGUGCAAUGGUACAGUCCGGCUCACUGCAGUCUCAGCUACCCAGGCUCAAGGGAUCCUCCCACCUCAGCCUCCCCAGUAGCUAGGACUACAGGCAUGUGCCACCACACCCGGCUGAUUUAUUGUAUUUUUUGUAGAGAGGGAGUUUUGCCAUGUUGCCCAGGCUGGUCUCAAACUCCUGGACUCAAGCGAUCCACCCACCUCGGCCUCUCAGAGUGCUGGGACUACAGGCAUGAGCCAUCCACCGGGCCCAGCCUCACACCUGUCUUUAGUGGCUUAGCCCGCCCGCCUGCCCUCUGCCCUUCCAUAGGUGUCUGAGGCCUGUGAUGCCGUGUUCGUGGCUGGCAAGGAGAGCCGGGGCGCCCGUGGGGUGCGAGUGGACUUCUGGUGGCGCCGGCUCCGCGCCUCGCUGCGGCUGACCGUGUGGGCCCCGCUGCUACCGCUGCGUAUCGAGCUCACCGACACCACCCUCGAGCAGGUCCGCGGCUGGAGGGUACCUGGCCCUGCUGAAGGGUGAGUGGAGGCCUGAGGAAGCUGGCAGGCCUUGGCGAGUCACACUGGGACGGAGAGGGCGCAGGGGACACAGCCAUGGGCCCAAGUCGGGGUCAGAAAAACUGCCCUGUUGCUUGCAGUUCCUUCUGCCCACCUCCACCCUGGGCCGCCCAGCCAAUGAUCGCUUUCUGUGAAAUUGCUGACCUCCGCAUCCCUCUCCUCCUUCCCUGCCUCACUUCUCCGGUAGCACCCUCCACUUCCUAAUCUACAUCAGUACUGGUUAAUGUUGCCUGUCCAUCCUUUCCACGCUCCUCCCCCGAGAAUGUCAGCCCCUUGAAGCCGCGGUCUGUCUAUGCUGGUCGUACCCUCAGAGCCUAAGAUGACACAGAGCUCAGGAAAUGAACACCCUCGAAGGGGGCUCCCCAAAACCCAGGGAGAGGUGGCCCACGCCUCUGGAAUCUAGCUUCCAGGCCCUUCAGAGAGUGAGCGCCCCCAGGGUCCCCGUAAGAGAGCGUCUCCCCUGCGGUCCACUUGGGAGCAAGAGCAGUGAUCAAGGCACAGCGCCAGUCGGGAGUGGGCUGGGGCGGCUCGCCUGCAGGUGGAAGGGCCUGACCCCAAGAGGGGCGGAUGUCUGCGUUUGAGAAACAGGAGCUGCUGGUGAUUAGGAGCCGCCGGGGACGAGCUGCGGGUCUCCAGCAGCUGGGCCCUGGGCAGGCUGGGGCCGCUCAGCGCUGACGGCCAGUCCCGGCCUCCCCGCCCUGCAGGCCUGCGGAACCCGCUGCAGAGGCGUCAGAUGAGGCCGAGCGGCGCGCCCGCGGCUGCCACCUGCAGUACCAGCGGGCCGGUGUGCGCUUCCUCGCCCCCUUCGCGGCCCACCCGCUGGACGGCGGCCGC